Molecule: non-coding RNA, 557 nt
Organism: Salvelinus sp. IW2-2015
Lineage: Eukaryota; Metazoa; Chordata; Actinopteri; Salmoniformes; Salmonidae
Source: RefSeq, a predicted model, not a curated record
AAUUUAUCAGAGGUUAGAUUAGACUCAAAUAAUUUUUUUCCAGUAGGAACUUAACAUUUGUGGAAAACAAGAAGAAAAAAAAGAAAAAACUGAGUGGUACUAUUUGAACCAAUAGGAAAUACUUGUUUUGCUCCAGGUUGCUAUGGUGCGCCUCAAUGCGGGGCUCCCGAGUGGCACAGUGAUCUAAGGCACUGCGUCUCAGUGCUAGUGGCGUCACUACAGAUCCCGGUUCGAAUCCAGGCUGUAUCAUAACCGGCUGUGAUUGGGACCCCCAUAGGGCGGCACACAUUGGGGCCAUAGAACGACCACAUUGGGUCGUACGGGUUUGGACAGGCUGUCAUUGUAAAUAAGAAUUUGUUCUUAACUGACUUGCCUAGUUAAAUUUAAAAAAAUUCACCAGGUGUAGUGGUGUAUGGUGUUCCCUAAAGCACCAGGGUUAGGGUGUAUGGUGUCUCCUAAAGCAUCAGGUGUAGAGGUGUAUGGUGUCCCCUAAAGCACCAGGUGUAGAGGUGUAUGGUGUCCCCUAAAGCACCAGGUGUAGAGGUGUAUGGUGUCCC